This 885-nucleotide long non-coding RNA is filed under the name Homo sapiens (human). Its description in RNAcentral is "HSALNT0305267". The record is from RNAcentral. Lineage: Eukaryota; Metazoa; Chordata; Mammalia; Primates; Hominidae.
AGCCAUGAUCAUGCCACUGUACUCCAGCCUGGGUGACAAGAGCAAGACCCUGUCUCUCAAAAAAAAAAAAACGCGGCUGGGUGGAACAUCUGGAAAACAUCUUUAAAGAACGCUGACUCAAUCAGGAGGAGCACCAUUUUGUUUCUUGCCCUCUGCCCUUCCUGCCUGAAACAGAUAAGUGCCCUCUGUGUACCAAAAAGGAAUGUACUGUUUAUAGAGACUUCAAAUCAGCAGAAAAUUCAAAUAGUUAUAACUUUUCUUUAUAAUCCAUCAUGAAAAAGAGUAACGACAAGAAGCUGAUUCCUGCCAACUGCAUUUCCUGGGCUCAUUUAACCAUGCCCAGAAGGAAUUAGGACAAUGAAAGAUAAAAAGAUAAAGGAGCCAACAUAUCCUCUCCCCUUUGAUUCAGACGACUUCUCCACCAUCACCUUCUUCACAAUGGCCACUUUUCCUCUGCAGUUGGGGUUCUUCUUCCCCAGCAAUGGCUCCAGGACUCUGUUAACUCAGCUCCUCCCCAGUUCUAGAGGUAGACGGUAGAGGCUUCCUGCUAUUGUUACUCUGGGGUUCCCCUUCUUCUCCAGUUUGGCUUUCCAGCCCUUCCAACUCCUUUGUAACUAGUUCCUGGUAUCAAAUUCACUUAACUGAACUACCUGACUUCGGCCCUGAUGUUUGAGUGGACCCCAUCUCACACACUGAGGUUGACAAUACUUGGCAAGUUGUUAGGCGAAGAGCAAAACAAUAAUCAUAAUCAUAGAAGCAUUCAUGUAGGUAUUGCAAGGCUCACAUCUCCAAAAUGUCCAGUGGAGACAUGAAAUAAUGAAUAUGUUACAUAGUGACAGUCAUUUAAAAUUUUUCAAAAGCCACUUUCAUUUUGUUCUUUUCUUC